UGGGAGCCAGUGGCCAGUACAAAUCGUACUGAAAAUUGUUUAGCAGGUUUUGAACGUGAUCUAUGACGAUAACUACGGAGAAUAGAAGGAUUAGGUGGUCUCGUUCCUGCGCUCAAGUUUGGUUCAGAGAUGAAGGCUGCGCCCGCUGAUAAACUACGCCGACUCUGAUGAUUGUCCGUGAAGGAGGAGCCUUUACCGCUGUCGCGCUACAUCGACUCUGAUAAAGACUCGCGUGUGUUCUCGCUAGAAAAACGAUGUAAUAGGCUUGUUGACCAAGAGUUGUAAAGUAAAUGUGUUGUAAUCUUGUUUCUCACGAUGUAUGACUACGAUAACAGCUGAUAUAUGAUAAUGCGAUGGUUCAAUUUUUGAAUUAUCACAUUAUAAUUCGAAUCUGUGGAUUUUUCCCUUUGUGGAAGAAUCUAGGUCGUUUCAGUUGGUAUCAGAGCCAUACUUGACCCUAGGACGAGACCUUUAGGACCAAACGCUAGUUUAGAAGCCAAACAUUCUAUCUUUUGUAGAGUUAUAGAUGCUAACACUUGUUUUCCCCCCCUCCGCCUUGAAUUCUACUGCUAACUGACCUCCCUGUUUCAUAAAGUUGACCGUUGGAAUCUUUUCCCAUACCCGCCCACGCUAGAUCGGUAGUCGUGUGAGACUUUGAAGGUCUGUGAGUCGCCUCAAGUCAACACUAUGCAUUAGGAGUUGUAAUGCUGUUUGAGUGCUCGGAUCUUAAGUUGUUGCAUUCCUUUGGCUUCUUGUUGUCUGAGUGUAAGUCAUAGAACUUGUUUUAUGCGAGAAAGACUCUGGUUUCCGUCCAACCUAGUCGGCUAAACCUAAGACCGUCCCGAGACUAGAUAGGUGGCCCUGACUAACAAAGUUAAAAGUUAGGUAAAGCUGUUGCAUCAUGUGUUGCUCGCCUAUUUCAAAACUGUUUUUGGCUUCCAAAAUGAACCUGUCUUCAAAAUUUUCUCUCCUUUUGGUUAAAAUGUCCCCUCUCUAACAAAAGCAUCCUUGUUUCAAAAGGAAAAGUGUUUCAAAACUCUCUUAAUAUCUUUCAUUUUCACAAAGAGAGCCAUUUUAACCCUUUUCUCAACUCAAUUUUAUUCAAACUCUAUUUAUGAAAUGAUUUAAAAAUAAGUUAUCUUUCAAAAGGUAUGACAAAAUCGCUUCAGAAAAACAAAAGUUUUGAUUUUCAACAACAAAGUGGUUUUCAAACCAAAGAUUUGGCUCGGCUUUGUUUUAAAGGUCUUUGAUUUUAUCUCGAGAGCCAAAUUCCUUUUUAAAAAUCAACCUUCUCUUAAAAAGAAAAAGGAAUUGCCAGUGAUUUAUUAAACAAAACCAUUGCGAAAAGAUUUUUGUUUGCAGCCUUCUAAAAAUUUAGCAAAAACAAAAUGAUCUUACAAGAUUUAAAAGAAAAUGUUUUUGUUGUUAAAGCUUUAUAUUUCAAAAGAGAGAAAUGAUUUUUAAUUAUUUUCAAAACUAGUCUGUUUAAUUCAAAUAAAAGAGAACGACACCUCAUUUAAAAAAAUAAAAGAGUUUCAAAGUCUCUUGAUUUGAAAUCUUUUACAUUAAAAAUCUUAAAAUAAUAAUAAUAAUAAUAAAAAAAUAAAAGAGUUUUAAAAUCUCUUGGUUUAAAAUCUUUUAUAGCAAAACCUUCAGAAAAGUUGGUUUUCAAAACUUGCACUGAUUUCGACCCUCUUCAAAAGCUCUCUUCAUUUUGAAGUCAAAAAAAAAAAACCUUUGACUUUGUAAAAGCGAUUUCACCCUAUUUUUGAAACCUGUUUCCCAAAAAAAUCUCUCCCUUCAAAAGCCUUUUUCAAAAGGUGAUGCAUGAAAAACAGCUGGUGAAAGCCAACAACCCUAGCUAUGUUUAAGCCUGCCAUACUCUCUUUGAGAGCCAGAUGUUCAUCAACCCCGUGCGAUUCUUGGACACCCAUCGCCCUGAUGUGAAAAUUUGGAUGCCCAACGACUGCAAGUGAGCCUUGCAUACACUUGGAACAAGAGUCACUCCCAUUUUGGAAAAAGUUUGUGGAGCGAUCAUACUAAAAGCAAAACAACUCAAAAGUAAGAAGAACUUCUGAAACGACGCCCUCGUUUCUCCACCGACCGAGCAACGCCUAAAUCUCGGGGACGAGAUUCCUGUAAGGUGGGUGGACUGUAACAUCCCAGAUUUUUUUUACGAAAGCCAAAAAUACGAGCUUUUUAAAAUUUUUCCUGUAAUCGUGUGAAGCAUAUAGUUUUUAGGUCUAACUCGAUUCUAACCCGCUAACAAGUCGUCGCAUUCAUAUAGAAUUGUUUGUAGGCGAGUGCUUUUGUUCGUGAGUCGUCUUGAGUUGGGUCUUGUUUAAGGUUUUGAGUUUCUUUUGGAGUGCACAAAUCCUUAGCAAAGUAUUCCCAAAUCUCCGUUGAGCCUAUCUCAAAGGCGAAGCGAAUCCUUUCUCAAUCUUUUCAUUGGAGUACGUCUCAAACUCCUUUAAUCCAUUUUGAACUCUUUUCCAAAUUCCCUUCUCCAAAACUUUUCUCUUGCUGAUCUCAUCACCAAAUCUCUGCCGCUAAAUCUAUCUUAAAUUCGUGGUGACUCAUCUCAAUCUCUUUUCCCUUUCCCGCUCAAUCAUUUUAGCAAAUAGUGGAAAAUCCUUCAAUUCCUUUCUCCAAAUAGAAAUUGGAAUAUUCUUUUCCCUCUCUGUCUCCUUGAAAUAUAAAUGGGAAGAGCAUUCUUAUUCCUCUUGGGCUCAACCCCUCAACCAGCCCACCACUCCUUGCCCCUCUUUUUCCCCUUUUAAAUUUCACUCAAGCCCUUGCGUCAAAUUCGUAAAUGGAAAAUCCAUCUCCUUUCAUGGGCCAAUUCUUUCCCCUCCCCUCUGCCCCCUGCUGCGGCCCAGAGCGCUCCUUGGCCCAACCGGCGCCCUCCCCUUCCCCUUAGCCCAGCUGGAGGCCUGCCAGGCCCAGCAGCGAAGCCCACGCGCGUGGCCCAUCUCCCUCUGUGGCCCAGCCGCACCUCCCCUUGGCCCAACCAGCCGCUCGGCCCAGGCAGCGCCCCCUUCUCCCCAACCCUAGGAACCGCGCCGCUCCCAGGUAGAGCCGCCACCGCCGCCGCUCGGUGGAAAGGCCACGAGCGCCAGCGCCCCUCCUGUCCCUGUCCGCGCCAGCCCAGGAUUCCCGCCGCGUGUCCCGCUGCGGACACGGACGCCGAGGAUGAACGCCUCCACUCUGAAGCCCUAGCCUCGACGCCUAUAAAGAGCCCAGCCGCCGCCACGCCCUCGAGCUCUUCCCUAGUGGCGCCGCCGCAGUCCUCUGUUCCCUCCACCCAGCGCCGCCGCCCUCCGCCUUGUCCUCCAUGACCGGCGCCGCGACAACGCCUUCACGUCAAGCCUGGACGCCACCGAGGCCCCGGCGUCCUCCGCGACCGCGGCGUCGUGCGGACUCGCGACCGCGGACGGCCACGCGGAUGCCACGGCCGCACCGGGACGCAGGCGCUUGAGUUGUCCGCGACGAGCACCCACUGCGCCACCGAGAGCCCGAGACGACGGCGCCCUUGCCUCGACGGCUGACAUGACGCCCAGAAGCCACCUUCGCCGAGCCGUGGCCAGCCGCGACGCUGCCCUCGCCGCGUCGAGCUUCGACCACGGCUGGCCGCGCGGGCGCCACAGCACUGCCGAGCCGCCUCGGUGCCCCGCGACGCCGAGCACCGCCGCGCCGAGCUUCGACUGCGACCUUGCCCAGGAGCCCGCGGCGUCCCCAUCCUCGCCCGCGAGCUCUCCCCCGAGCCCCGUCUUCGGCCAGCACCGCGAGCACGGCGCCCCUCCGCGUCCGCGUCCUCGACCUCGCCACGACCUCGACGCCGAGCAGGAGCUCCGCACCCCCGCCGGAGCACGACGCUACGACCGUGCCGCGCCAAGCACUACGACCCCGACCCCGACGCAGUUCUGCGCCACCCCGUGACGUCGCCCACGCCCUCACCACCAGCCCCGGCCUCGCCCCCAAGCCCAGGGCCGCGCGCGACGCCGGCUCCGGCCACGGCCGACCUGAAGCCCGUGGCGUCCACGUCCGCGCUCAGGAGCCGCGACCACCGAGCGCGACGUCGGGCCCCGACGCGUCCCCGUCCUCGCCACGGUCACCGCGUCAAGCUCUUGUCCCUGUCUUCGCCAAGCCAAACCCCGGUGAGCUCGCCAAGACCAAAGUUUUCCCCUUCCUGCGUUCACCAUGCUGAGAUCGGCCUUCGUGCCGUGUUCUACACCUUGCAGGGAGGAUGUGCCCUUGGGGCACCAUUGCCGCAUGGCUGGACCACACUGCUGCCCUCGGCUAACCCCUGGACUCGCUGCAGCAAGCCGCAACCGCUUCCAACCAGCUGCAGCAAGCCACAGCUGGUCAGCGGCAGAUCAUAGCCGGAUCAGAGUGGCAGCAGCAGGUCUCCGCCACCUUCCUCGCGUUCGUCAAGGUCGACCUUUUUGCACUUAGUCGACGCCCUUCGCGACGUCGACGAAACCCUUGUUCUUUUCUCAUACCCUUGUAUGUUGAUGAUUCUUGAUCAUAGUCGUCUAUACAUGUCAUACAUCUCCGAUCUCGUUUAAUACAUGAUCUGUCUCUAUUAUAUCUCUGCCUGUGCCGUGCCUUCGUGCCGGUCUAUUUAUCUAUCUAUGAAUCUCUCUAACUCGUGCUAUGGAUGUUUGUGCUACUCCGAGUUGUCAUCUCCCUUGUGUUGUCUUUGGUUGAGUCGCGAUUCUUUGUGUGUUUGUUCUUGUCGUUGUGGACCGUGUCGUCGAGCCGGUUGAGAGAGUGACGUGUUUGAAUGUUGCGAUCGCGAGUUCGUCUCGCCAUGGUCGUAGUGCCAAGCAUGUCCCUACUCUCGUGUUGUCGAUGUUCUUUCUUUUUGUUAUUUGCCUGAGGACCGAGCCUUCGAGCCGGUCGGGAAAAUGGUAGUGCGUUUGAUCAUCUCGAUCGUGGGUUUGUCCCGUCGUGAUCUUGAUGCCGAGCGUAACUCGUUUUCUCGUGUUUAAUCGACUCUCUAGUGCCAUGAUCGUUAGCGACCCUAUUUGACCCACAGGCGUGGUCACCAUGGACUUGCUGUCGGUGCGCCUCCUACCCGCACCUGGCAAGCCACUCGUGACCUAGUUUAGUGGGAGACUAGCGGACGACAAUCGUGGGACUUAUGAAAGCCAACUCGUUAGGUGAAGAUCAUGGCCGCGAGUCCACCUCGCCAUGGUCAUCGGGCUUUACCUUGUUUCUCGCAUGAUUAUCUUAUCUGUAUCGUAUGCUUAUGCCACCUAGACCCGGGCAUUUCCCCUAGUUCCCGCGAUGACAACCGCAUCGCCUGGAACUAUAGGAAUGACCUUGUGCAGAUUCAAAAGCACCUAGGUCGUGAAGUGCUAUAAGUUGGAAUAGAUCGUGGGGUCGUAUCUCUUUUAUCCAACCGUUUUUCGUUCUAUGGCGUGUUGGUUGGAAGAAUGUGAUUUCGUUCUUCUCUCUUGGUCUCAAUCCCCGUCGAUCCAGUAAGAUGUAGAUUGAGCCCCUUUUACUUGUUUGAUGUUUUGUUUCCAAUCCCGCGAUUCCCGUCGUUGUUAUGGCGAGCGGAUCAAUGGAGAGUGAAACCCGUGUCUUUCUUGCCUUUUGGGUUCUUCGUGCUUAAACUCUUGUAUGCUUGUACCUAAUCGACCGUAGCAUUUCUUUGGUUCUCGUGGUGACAACCGCACUGCUAAGAACCCUAGGGAUGUCUUAGUGCAUUCAGUGUACCUAGGUUGUGGUACCCUACAAGUAGUUUGAGCACUCGUGAUCUUGUGUGUCACUCUUUCAGACUCCCCGUCUCUUACCAUGGCGAGUGGAUUGGAAGGAGUAGACCACUUUCCCUUUUCUUCUCUCCUUGUUCCACCCUCUCUUGGCUCUCGCCAACUACAAUGGCGUAUGGAUUGAGAGAGACCGGAACUUCCCGUGCUCAUAGCCUUUUCGAUUCCUGUCGAUCUCUAUGACACUUGGAUCGAAAGACUGUAAGUUGUGGUGUUUGCUUAGAAUGAGUUAGAGUCCAAGCCAUUUAAUAAAGCCGUACAGGUUGACUCAGUUAACCCGGGAAGUACCGGCUAGGCUAAGACUCCAGCUUGUACUUAGUGAACAACCAUUCCCGUUUCUUUUAGCCCAGAGAUCGGACAUCCGCCGAGAGGGCUAAGCCGUUUUCCUUUCGUUGCGCUUUUAGAGUAGUUGUUCCUCAGUGUUGUGUCGUCUCUUUUCGCGAUCUUUCUAGGUCUAGUGGUUUGAUUGUUUCGCCUUGAUUGUCGUUUACGAGGUAGUUGCUUCGGUUAGCGAUGAUCGAAUCGGAACCAGUCGAAGGAAGGACAUGCAGAUAGGAGAAAGACCUUGGAUGAGUACAACUACAAGUGAACUGAGGAUCCUGGAAAUGUCACUCGACAGGUGCCACGUCCCACCCAACCUCGUAGAAUCCUAUUAGACAUGCAAUAUUAUAGAUGCUAGUGCUUUACUUUUAUGCAAAUGAACUAUGAUAGGUUGCAUGGUAGAAAUGCUUGUGAGCCAUUGCCUUGUUGCAACCUAUAACCCUCGCACACCCGCUGUUAGGUUAGAUGCUUGCAUACUACUUGCUACUGCUUCUACUACGCAUUAUAUCUGUGAUGUGAUGCAUUGUGGAGGAUUGGAUGUGAGUGGAUAAGGCACGUGUGUCGAUAACUGGUUAAGAAAUGGAUAAUGGAUAUGGGGAGAUCUUGGCGUGUGUCUUGGGUGUGUGGUGAGGGUCGAGUCGACCGAGCAGGAUUUACGACGAGUCUUGGGACAAGUCUUGCCGGGGAACGCUACCUGGGCGUUCUCCAUGAGAGAUACCUGUGGCGGGUACAUGUGACAGGGAGAGGUCCCGGAGUGGAGUGUCUUCGUGGGACGAAGCACCGGGAUGGGAGGUGCUGUAUAGCACGGGGUAGCCGGGUGUCCCGUCGAGAGGGGCAUCGGCUGGCCCCUCGUGAAGAUGUCCUGUUCGGUUACCCUAAGGACUGAGAUGUUCUGAGAACCGGUUCGUAGGAAGCCUUACACGCCACUCGCCUUAUUAUGGUGCGGGACGGAUGUACGACCAGCUAGUGCGGUGCCACUACUACUAGGUUGAUAGCGGAUAGUGUAGGGAGGUACGGGCAUGAGGACCCACACCCUCCUAAGACAGCGUAGUGACCCUUGGGGGCCCGGUACUACGCCUCACAGUCUCAGCAUGCCGGUGGUACUCCGGUAUGGCCCCAGUCCUGAGUGGUAGGGUGGCAUCGUAUUUAGUUGGAAGGCAGCCCGGUAUCAGCCUAGACGAGCCGGUUCGUCGAUGAUGGUGAUCUUGUGGUUAGUGUAAACCUCUGCAGAGUUUGGUUGAUCGAUCGAUACAUAUGCCGUCUUCUCGGCUAUGGACCUUUCCUAUGAUCCGCUUCGCUUGACUAGUGAGAGGAGUCCUUUCUACCUUCCCCUGGGUUUGUGUUGGAUCCGGCGUUGGCCGUUGAGGCAAGGCACGAGCGGGAGUCGUACUUGCCGCCUAGAGAGUGAGAGUGUGGUGAGAUGUGUGUGAUGGGAUGGAUGGAUGGAUGUGUGGAUGAGAUGGAAUAAAACUUGAUGAAUUAUUAUUAUAAAAUAUUGAUGAACUUGCAUAGGAAAAACUACAGCUAUACAUAGGCCUCUUGAUAUACCCUUUGCAUUUCCACCUACCACAAAGCUACGCAAAAGCAUAGGGUGGGAGCCAGUGGCCAGUACAAAUCGUACUGAAAAUUGUUUAGCAGGUUUUGAACGUGAUCUAUGACGAUAACUACGGAGAAUAGAAGGAUUAGGUGGUCUCGUUCCUGCGCUCAAGUUUGGUUCAGAGAUGAAGGCUGCGCCCGCUGAUAAACUACGCCGACUCUGAUGAUUGUCCGUGAAGGAGGAGCCUUUACCGCUGUCGCGCUACAUCGACUCUGAUAAAGACUCGCGUGUGUUCUCGCUAGAAAAACGAUGUAAUAGGCUUGUUGACCAAGAGUUGUAAAGUAAAUGUGUUGUAAUCUUGUUUCUCACGAUGUAUGACUACGAUAACAGCUGAUAUAUGAUAAUGCGAUGGUUCAAUUUUUGAAUUAUCACAUUAUAAUUCGAAUCUGUG
This 8086-nucleotide long non-coding RNA is filed under the name Sorghum bicolor (sorghum). RNAcentral describes it as "long non-coding RNA (SBIC_LNC011101)". Lineage: Eukaryota; Viridiplantae; Streptophyta; Magnoliopsida; Poales; Poaceae. The record is from RNAcentral.